GCGAGGACGGCGCGGGAGGGCGUUUCCGGAGCACGCGCCAGGCGGGGCCCGCUGACGUCGGGCUCAGGGCCGCGGCCAGAGGGCGAGAGUCCGCGCCUUCCGAGGGAGCCGCGCCCUGCGGGCCCCACCGUACCCGGGGGGAUGGAGGGCUGCCCCCGAGGCCCCCGCGCGGCUCGCGGUCCCACGCCUGCCGGCCCGCGCUAGCUACUCGACUCGUGCGUUUUAUCCGUCACCCAGGCCUUGUCUCCCGAGUCAUUGGCGUCGUGGUUCGAAAGAAAUGGAAGAAAAGGAGCGAUGUGACCGAUUCUGUUCGGUCCUCCUGCUUUGAGGCCUGGCAUUUGCAGAGGGAAACAGCAAGAAAAUCGUGGGGAUUUUGGAGGGGGGUGGGAGGGAAGGGUGGGGAAACGGAAACAAGGUCUUACAUUUUAUGUGUUUUUUUAAAUUCUGCACUUUGACAGUGGUAGCAAAAUAAAAGUAAUCCAGAAGUUAUUUUUCUAUUGAGAAGAGAGAAGAGGUGGGUU
This 521-nucleotide small RNA is filed under the name Pongo abelii (Sumatran orangutan). Its description in RNAcentral is "processed transcript". Lineage: Eukaryota; Metazoa; Chordata; Mammalia; Primates; Hominidae. The record is from RNAcentral.